RNAcentral lists this ribosomal RNA (469 nucleotides) under uncultured Syntrophorhabdaceae bacterium. RNAcentral's name for it is "bacterial SSU rRNA". It matches the Rfam family "Bacterial small subunit ribosomal RNA", at positions 338 to 798 of the family's 1533-position model. Lineage: Bacteria; Pseudomonadati; Thermodesulfobacteriota; Syntrophorhabdia; Syntrophorhabdales; Syntrophorhabdaceae. The record is from RNAcentral.
CCUACGGGGGGCUGCAGUGGGGAAUAUUGGGCAAUGGGCGAAAGCCUGACCCAGCGACGCCGCGUGGGCGAUGAAGGCCUUCGGGUUGUAAAGCCCUGUCAUGCGGAAAGAACGACCCUGUGAUGAAUAAUCGCAGGGAGUGACGGUACCGCAGGAGGAAGCACCGGCUAACUCCGUGCCAGCAGCCGCGGUAAUACGGAGGGUGCAAGCGUUGUUCGGAAUUAUUGGGCGUAAAGGGCGCGUAGGCGGUAAUGUAAGUCAGAUGUGAAAUACUCCGGCUCAACCAGAGAACUGCAUCUGAAACUACAUAACUAGAGUACAGAAGAGGGAAACGGAAUUCCCGGUGUAGAGGUGAAAUUCGUAGAUAUCGGGAGGAACACCAGUGGCGAAGGCGGUUUCCUGGUCUGAUACUGACGCUGAGGCGCGAAAGUGUGGGGAGCAAACAGGAUUAGAUACCCCUGUAGUCAAU